RNAcentral lists this ribosomal RNA (111 nucleotides) under Caerostris darwini. Lineage: Eukaryota; Metazoa; Arthropoda; Arachnida; Araneae; Araneidae. The record is from RNAcentral.
AUGGCCGUACCAUGCUGAAUAUACCGGUUCUCGUUAGAUCACCGAAGUUAAGCAUCAUUGGGCGCGGUCAGUACUUGGGUGGGUGACCACCUGGGAACACCGCGUGCUGUU